ACGGCGUUUUCCCGUUGCACGCUGUGAUUUCAGCCCACAAAAAAAUUGUCCCAUUUAUAAAAUUGGCCCGUUCCAAAACUCAAACUUCUCCCUCGUCUCUCUCUCACUCUCCUCACAACGUACAUUGCUCCGGCCUCAUCUCUCAAAACGCAGUGACCUUCUCCUACCUCCCAUUGCUCCGGCCUCCUCCGCUCUCCCAUUGCUCCGACCACAGUAGGCUGUCCUCAAGCAGUUUGGGGCUGGAGGAUAUGGAUGUUCAGAUAAUUAGUUAGUGAUGAGGCAGAACUAGUGCGACAUCAGGAACUUGAGAAGCUUUACAUAUACACACGUGCUGGAAAGGUAAGCAAUUGAGCUGAAGGCAAAUCAAGAGCAUCACCGAUAAGAUGUUUGAUCGUUUCAAAAACAAGAUAGGAAGAGCAUAUAUGAGAUUCAAGGAUUGGCAAGUUUUAGACCUCUCUUUCAUUCUUGCCUCUUAUUUCAUCUUGAAGAUCUCUUUCAUUAUGGCUUGAAGAAUAGUUUCUCAACAUUGGAUUAAUUUGAGUUGUUGAAUAUAAUGGAUAAUUUUAUAAAAUGCACAUUUUCUUAAUUUGUCUACUUUACUUUUGGGUGCUUGAGUUAAUGU
Molecule: long non-coding RNA, 622 nt
Organism: Rosa chinensis
Lineage: Eukaryota; Viridiplantae; Streptophyta; Magnoliopsida; Rosales; Rosaceae
Exons: 3
Source: RefSeq, a predicted model, not a curated record